This is a non-coding RNA of Cricetulus griseus (Chinese hamster), 3561 nucleotides long. NCBI's taxonomy places the organism in Eukaryota, Metazoa, Chordata, Mammalia, Rodentia, Cricetidae. The record is from RefSeq and is a predicted model, not a curated record.
CACACAUACACACACACACACACACACACACAUAUAUAUAUAUAUAUAUAUAUGUAAUAUAUAUAUUCACUCUUUGUAAUACAACUGGAAAGACAAUGUAAUUCCUAAAACUGAAUGAUGAUACUUGAGAGAAUAAUCAAAUAACAAAAUGUGUGUGGAAAAUAACAUUUUUAAAAAAGAUAUAGUGAAAAUCAUAUAAAUGAGAACAAUGUGUUAUUGACAUAGGGAUAAAAACCCACAAACAGAUGAGAAUCCAAUUCCCAUGGGACAAGCUAAUGUGGGUUUUUUUUUUCAAGCUGAAACUUUUGGUAAUUUAUUCCUAAAAUAGAGAAAAAUAAAUUGAAUAAAUCAUGCAUAAAAUAUUUUGUAAAUAAAUACAUUUUAUUUACACUGUCACACUCCUUCAAAAGCCCCCAUUUGCACAGUUUUGCUAAAGCUAUGGGAAAAUGCCUUUUCACUCCUGUUGGAAGAGAGUCAGUUGUUCUUUACAGUCCUCAGUUUAAUCCAAGGGAUGUUGAAAAGAAGUGUUCAUACAGUAUAUGACUCAACAGAGACACUGCUGGGUUUAACUCCAGUCUUGCACAGUGGGAAAAUGGAUGAAUAUGAUUGAUUUAGCUCCUUCUAUCUUCAUGUGGAUGAAAAUGUAGCUUAAAGAAUGCACACAGGAUGCUUACUACUCAUGGUCACCCUUUGUGCAAAAACUGAUAGCUGCUUGGGAGCUUGAGAGUCUGCCUCUUGGUGUACACCCAGGGUCUCUCUCAGUUGUUCCUGUCAGCCCCUCUCAGCUUUUCCUUCUAGCUCUUCUGCAUUCCUUUGUGAAUCCCCAGCAACCUGCAGAAUACCUCCCUUCUAGGGACUCACAGCCUCCACCCUUGGCCGGGACUCAAAUCAGUGCAUAGCUCAACCUUCAUCAGAGAAAUAUCUCUAAAGUUGCUCACUUUCUACACACAGAGACCCACAACCUUGCCAAGACAAGGUGGUCCAGUCCUGCAAAUUAUCCUAGUCCACAGAAAUGUCUGUAGAUAUGCUAGGCCUAUAGGCUAAAGAUGGAUGCCCCAACGUUGCAGAGAAAUCUAGGGUGGCUGUCAAGCAGUCAGCUGUUUCUGUCAUUUCUCACAUUUUUUGGAAGUCACUUGCUUGCACUUCCUGUUUACUCAGUUAAUAUUAUUUCCUUUUUGGGUCUCUGAGGGAGUUGAAGACUAGGAAGUAUAGUUAUAGGUUUCCUUACUUACCAGAAUCAGUAAAGAAAUUCACAAGAGAUGCAUUAAGUGUAAUAGGUUUCAAAGAUAUUAAAUGAUAAUUUGAUAAUGCAAAUCAGAAUAGAAAGUACAUUGGGUACAAGACUUUGGACUCAUCAAUAAAGAAUAGAUAAUGGAAUAUUUUCUCUGAAUUUGUCAAAUUCUAAUGGAAUAUAAUUGUUAAUGUAAUUACUGCCUGUAAAUAUUGUAUAUACUUAUUGUACUUAUUGUAAAUAGCUUUUCUUAUAAUAGUUAUACUUUUUAAAAUUUUAGACAAAAAAGGGGGAUGUAUGGUGAUAUCUUGCUUGUAUAAAUAAAGCCUGUCUGAAGGUCAGAAAAUGGAGCUUGUCACUAGCUAACUUUAGAGGUCUGGAAGUCUGUAAAAACAGACAGGAAGUGAGGUAGCUGGGCAGAAACAGGAUAUAAGCAAGGAGAAAGAGGAACUGGCUCUCUUGUCUGCUGAGACUCAAAGGAGAUAGGGUGUGGCCAUGGCUUGCUCUUUCUCUCUGAUCUCUCAGCAUCUUCCUCUAGGUCUGAGUCUGGGUUUUUGUUAUCUAGACCAAUUAAGAACUCCAUUUAUAGGAUAGACAGUGUGCAGAAAAUGAGUGACUUUAGAGUAACCAGUCCUACAUGGGAUGUCUUUAUCAAAUCCAUCCCCUCAGUGUUCAGGGAUCUAUGAGGAAGAGGCAGAAAGUUAAUAAGAAUCAGAGGUGGUUAAUGAUUCCAAGGAAAUAAUGUCUUCAACAUUCAACAGUCCUGAUAUUCAUAUGAUCUCACAGAGACUGUGAUAGCAUGCCCUAAACCAGCAUGGGUUCAAACCAGACAAAUUCCUGGCACAGAGAAGUGAACAGAAACUAUUUGCAAUUGGUACCUGUUAGGAAAAGGAAAAUAAGUUUUCUCCAAUGGAUUGUCACUGGGUAUUUCAACCACACUCCAUGGCAGGUUCCAUACCCAGGAAGAGUUAACCAACACAAAAUGAACAACAUAUUGUUUUGGGGUUUUAGAAGGGUUCUUGUUGUUUUGUUUUGGUAUUUUUUUCUUACCUUUUGUUUUGUUUUGCUUUGCUUCAUUUUUUAGGAGAAUGAGAACAUGAGAUUUGGGGGAGGGUGUGUGGGGGAAACAAAACAGAACAAUGUAAGCAAAUCAAAUUGGAAUCUAUGGUGCUGUAUGAGUCCCAUCCUUGAAGAGAAAUCAAUGUAAAUAUGUUCAAACUACAGUGUGCCAGAUGAUGUGGGAAUUAUGGGUUAUUAUGUGAAAGAACAAGGUACAGGAAUGGAGCCCUGUAAUGAGCACAGUAAAAAAAAAUGCCUUUUAGAAAUGUAAAAAUAGCCAAGUCACGAUCCCCUCUGCACACAAGGCUGCACCUGAUAACCAGAACCCAGUGACAUCACUCACUCAAGAUAAGUAGACACAGUCUCAGAAACCCAUAAUGCCCAAUGGACAGUUUAUAAGCAGAGACCAAGAGCAAUGUUCUGCUCUGCACAUUUGGAGAGAUGCCUCUGUGAUAUGUUUUGUGGCUAGAGAACUCCUACCCCAGGACCCUGACUUUCAAAUCAAAGACUUCUGUUAGAGAUUGGACAUGACUUUCAGCUAAGAUAUGUCACACAGGUGAGCAACUUUGGGGAGAUAGGCUUAGGAACAUAGUUAAGAAUUUAGAAUGUGAACUUUGUGUGAUAACCUACAGCAUAAUAAAAUACAACUUUUGUUAUGCUAUGAGUAUCUACCGUCUUGUCUGCAACAGUUGACAUAACAGAAUUUUAGAUGAUUCUUAGAAAAGGUGAAACUAAGGGGGGGGGACUUGCUAUUCUAAAGACACUUCUCCCCAGGGAGAAGGGUGAAUUCUUGACUGCAAGACUUCCACAAAGGCACAGGCUUCUGUCCUAAGACCAGAGAUGUUCAAAAGAAGGAAGAAACAAGAAUCCUGUGGCAUGAAGGCAUGAAGGCACCAGCUUCUGCCUGAAGACCAGUAGUGGGAGCAGAGUUAACACUGGAUAGCCAAGAGAAGGACGAAGCUUCAACCUGAAAGGCUGGUCAUAAAUCAGGCCUCCUCUACCAGUAACCUAAAUUGGUACAUUAGAAAAAGAGAAGCCAAUUCCUCUAUUACUUGGCCAACAAAUUGACAAGAUGCAGAGACUAAUAAGAGAAAUCUCAAAAACAUGAAAGCAAAGAACAAGAACUGUCCCAGCAGUAGAUGCUACAGAACUUAUUAUCACUUGGCACAACAAAAGUUCUCUAGGCUCAAGAAGGAAAUUACAUUUGGUAUUCCGUUGUCCAUAUCAAUGGUAUUUGAGCCCUUGCUAAAGAAAGCAGAGACUUAAAAGGU